CACGCAAACGAAAAAAAAUCGACUUCAAUUACAUCGACAAGCAACACAACGUAGGUCGACGAAAAAAGCGUCAAGUAAAAACGCAUUAUUAGAUAUAACUCGAAAAGUAAUUGUUAGAUCUCAAAUAAAUUUAAAUGGGACCAAUUGGCACACGCCACCUUUCGAUUAAAAAAAUUUUUGUCGAAAUCGGUUCACACGGUCAAAAGUUCUGAUGUAACAUACAUUAAAAUAAUUGUGUUUGCUCGCAAACGAAAAAAAACCGACUUCAAUUACAUCGACGA
RNAcentral lists this unclassified non-coding RNA (281 nucleotides) under Melitaea cinxia (Glanville fritillary). RNAcentral describes it as "misc RNA ENSMCXG00005016898.1". The record is from RNAcentral. Lineage: Eukaryota; Metazoa; Arthropoda; Insecta; Lepidoptera; Nymphalidae.